CACGUAGGGGGCGAGCGUUUGUCCGGAUUUAUUGGGCGUAAAGAGCUCGUAGGCGGUUCCGUCAGUCGGGUGUGAAAACUCUGGGCUCAACCCAGAGACGCCACCCGAUACUGCGGUGACUAGAGUCCGGUAGGGGAGUGCGGAAUUCCUGGUGUAGCGGUGAAAUGCGCAGAUAUCAGGAGGAACACCAACGGCGAAGGCAGCACUCUGGGCCGGUACUGACGCUGGAGGAGCGAAAGCGUGGGGAGCGAACAGG
RNAcentral lists this ribosomal RNA (256 nucleotides) under uncultured bacterium. RNAcentral describes it as "partial 16S ribosomal RNA". It matches the Rfam family "Bacterial small subunit ribosomal RNA", at positions 524 to 776 of the family's 1533-position model. The record is from RNAcentral.